UACGUAGGGGGCAAGCGUUGUCCGGAUUUAUUGGGCGUAAAGAGCGUGUAGGCGGCCAUGUAGGUCCGUUGUGAAAACUCGAGGCUCAACCUCGAGACGCCGAUGGAAACCAUGUGGCUAGAGUCCGGAAGGGGAGUGGGGAAUUCCUGGUGUAGCGGUGAAAUGCGCAGAUAUCAGGAGGAACACCGGUGGCGAAGGCGCCACUCUGGGCCGGUACUGACGCUGAGGAGCGAAAGCGUGGGUAGCAAACAGG
This 253-nucleotide ribosomal RNA is filed under the name uncultured bacterium. RNAcentral describes it as "partial 16S ribosomal RNA". It matches the Rfam family "Bacterial small subunit ribosomal RNA", at positions 524 to 776 of the family's 1533-position model. The record is from RNAcentral.